AUACUAGGCUACAAUGCCCUAAAAACAUCAGAUCCCAUCUGAUCUUGAAAGCUAAGCAGGGUUACCUCUAGUUAGUACUUGGAUAAGAAACUGCCAAUGAAUAACAGGUGCUGUGAGCU
RNAcentral lists this ribosomal RNA (119 nucleotides) under Anolis carolinensis (green anole). The record is from RNAcentral. Lineage: Eukaryota; Metazoa; Chordata; Lepidosauria; Squamata; Anolidae.